Molecule: unclassified non-coding RNA, 290 nt
Filed under: Hevea brasiliensis (rubber tree)
Lineage: Eukaryota; Viridiplantae; Streptophyta; Magnoliopsida; Malpighiales; Euphorbiaceae
Source: RNAcentral
GAAAUAAUAGUUGUAUUAUUGAUUUGAUGAAUACCUAUCAAUUACAAAUUUACAAUGGAAAGGGCUAUUUAUAUCAUUCACUAACUGCUUAGUCAUAACAUUCACCACCUCUUAAAAUCAUUCUUGUCCUCAAAAAUGAAUAAAGGAACAAAAAUGAGCAAAAACAUAUUGCAAUUAUAGACGACCUGCUACUACUACGUCUUGUAAUGAAUUGUAAUGUUCAAGACUACUUUGCUGAAACUGGACUUUCUUCCUUCAUAUUUGCCUUUCUUUCUCUGCCUUCUCCAUCU